This 459-nucleotide ribosomal RNA is filed under the name uncultured bacterium. Its description in RNAcentral is "partial 16S ribosomal RNA". It matches the Rfam family "Bacterial small subunit ribosomal RNA", at positions 338 to 795 of the family's 1533-position model. The record is from RNAcentral.
CCUACGGGAGGCAGCAGUGAGGAAUAUUGGUCAAUGGCCGAGAGUCUGAACCAGCCAAGUCGCGUGAGGGAAGACUGCCCUACGGGUUGUAAACUUCUUUUGUCGGGGAGUAAAGCGAUCCACGUGUGACUCAUUGUGUGUACCCUAUGAAUAAGCAUCGGCUAACUCCGUGCCAGCAGCCGCGGUAAUACGGAGGAUCCGAGCGUUAUCCGGAUUUAUUGGGUUUUAAGGGUGCGAGGGUGGAGGUGCAAGUCAGCGGUCAAGUUUUGGGGCUCAACCCAAUACUGCAGGUGAAACUGGAAGUCUUGAGUACAGGAGAGGUAGGCGGAAUGCGUGGUGUAGCGGUGAAAUGCAUAGAUAUCACGCAGAACUCCGAUUGCGAAGGCAGCAUACCGGAGCGCAACUGACACUCAGGCACGAAAGCGUGGGUAUCGAACAGGAUUAGAUACCCUAGUAGUC